CUUUCCACUCUCUGCUUCUCCAUUCUCUAUCCAUCUCGUCUCUCUCGAAUAUCCAUCACGGCAACAACAAUGAAGAUCGCCGGCAAGUAGCUUCCCAUUCCUCAUCUCCGCGAAUAGCGUAGAAAGUGAAGAUAUGGCAGCAGCUUCUCACCACGUAAUGAAGAUCCACGGUAGCAUCAGCGGAGCAGCACGGUGGCGUCAUCGGCGAGCAGCGAUGGUUGAUCCGGAGGCGCAAUGACGGCAAGCGUGGGCUGUGGUGGUAUCUCGCAGCUGCAACGAUCUCCAGCGAAGCUUCCACGGCAGCCAUGGUGUCGGUAGUGGUUGACGGCGGUUUGAGCAGCAAGCUCUGUUUCCGGCGUCGUGCAGCGGUGGAGGUGGCGGCACUCCCUCUUCCGUGCGGCUAGCAGCAGAGCGGUGGCCUACGUCUCCGAUCUUCUUCCGGCAGUACAUGGCUGUGACAAUGGAGUUUGACAGUGGCGGAUGGCCUUGUGUUGUUGUUGGCGUAACAUAGUAGAAAGGAAGGGUGUAGCGUGGUGGUAUGGUGUCAUAGUGUUGAGUUAGAGGGCUUAGGUUCGAAUCCUUGGCUAAGCAUCAUGAUUAAGGUUCAUGAUUAUGGACCUAGCUUGUGAGAUGAGCUUAGGAUUGGUGUUGCUUUGGAUUAGUACGCUUCAAGAGGAAUGCAAUAAGUCUAAGCGAGAGCGCGCUAGAGCUUAU
Ipomoea triloba (trilobed morning glory) is the source of this 714-nucleotide long non-coding RNA. RefSeq lists it as uncharacterized. The transcript is spliced from 3 exons. NCBI's taxonomy places the organism in Eukaryota, Viridiplantae, Streptophyta, Magnoliopsida, Solanales, Convolvulaceae. The record is from RefSeq and is a predicted model, not a curated record.